CCUACGGGCCGCACCAGUGGGGAAUUUUGGACAAUGGGCGAAAGCCUGAUCCAGCAAUGCCGCGUGUGUGAAGAAGGUCUUCGGAUUGUAAAGCACUUUCGACGGGGACGAUGAUGACGGUACCCGUAGAAGAAGCCCCGGCUAACUUCGUGCCAGCGGCCGCGGUAAUACGAAGGGGGCUAGCGUUGUUCGGAAUUACUGGGCGUAAAGCGCGCGUAGGCGGAUAGAUAAGUCAGAGGUGAAAUCCCGGGGCUCAACUCCGGAAUUGCCUUUGAUACUGUUUAUCUUGAGUGCAGAAGAGGUAAGUGGAAUUCCGAGUGUAGAGGUGAAAUUCGUAGAUAUUCGGAGGAACACCAGUGGCGAAGGCGGCUCACUGGUCUGCAACUGACGCUGAGGCGCGAAAGCGUGGGGAGCAAACAGGAUUAGAUACCCUAGUAGUC
This 440-nucleotide ribosomal RNA is filed under the name uncultured bacterium. RNAcentral describes it as "bacterial SSU rRNA". It matches the Rfam family "Bacterial small subunit ribosomal RNA", at positions 338 to 795 of the family's 1533-position model. The record is from RNAcentral.